This 299-nucleotide unclassified non-coding RNA is filed under the name Glomus sp. Its description in RNAcentral is "partial contains 5.8S ribosomal RNA, internal transcribed spacer 2, and large subunit ribosomal RNA". The stretch from base 1 to 71 matches the Rfam family "5.8S ribosomal RNA", at positions 84 to 154 of the family's 154-position model. The record is from RNAcentral. Lineage: Eukaryota; Fungi; Glomeromycota; Glomeromycetes; Glomerales; Glomeraceae.
GUGAAUCAUCGAAUCUUUGAACGCAAAUUGCACUCUCUGGUAUUCCGGAGAGUAUGCCUGUUUGAGGGUCAGUUUAAAUAAAAAAUCGGUUUGUUUGCUGCCUUUCGUGUUGACUCACCGGAUUUGGGUCUUCUUGCCUUCGGUUAAGUUACCUAAAAUUUUGCAUGAUUUUUUUCGACCUUAUUUAAAUGAUUUUACUUACUUUUCCGUUAUCGACUACUAUGUGUGUUCAUCCUCAUGAUUCCCGCCUAUAAUUUUUCAUCAACAUGACCUCAAAUCAGGUAAGAGUACCCGCUUAA